UAAUUACUCCCUCCGUUCGGAAUUACUUGUCGCAGAGAUGGAUGUAUCUAGACGUAUUUGAGUUCUAGAUACAUCCAUUUUCGAGACAAGUAAUUCCGAACGGAGGGAGUAGAUC
This is a non-coding RNA of Triticum aestivum (bread wheat), 115 nucleotides long. The record is from Rfam. NCBI's taxonomy places the organism in Eukaryota, Viridiplantae, Streptophyta, Magnoliopsida, Poales, Poaceae.